GAUGAACGCUGGCGGCGUGCCUAAUACAUGCAAGUCGAGCGAACAGAUAAGGAGCUUGCUCCUUUGACGUUAGCGGCGGACGGGUGAGUAACACGUGGGUAACCUACCUAUAAGACUGGGAUAACUUCGGGAAACCGGAGCUAAUACCGGAUAACAUUUGGAACCGCAUGGUUCUAAAGUGAAAGAUGGUUUUGCUAUCACUUAUAGAUGGACCCGCGCCGUAUUAGCUAGUUGGUAAGGUAACGGCUUACCAAGGCAACGAUACGUAGCCGACCUGAGAGGGUGAUCGGCCACACUGGAACUGAGACACGGUCCAGACUCCUACGGGAGGCAGCAGUAGGGAAUCUUCCGCAAUGGGCGAAAGCCUGACGGAGCAACGCCGCGUGAGUGAUGAAGGGUUUCGGCUCGUAAAACUCUGUUAUUAGGGAAGAACAAACGUGUAAGUAACUGUGCACGUCUUGACGGUACCUAAGCAGAAAGCCACGGCUAACUACGG
RNAcentral lists this ribosomal RNA (496 nucleotides) under uncultured bacterium. RNAcentral's name for it is "partial 16S ribosomal RNA". It matches the Rfam family "Bacterial small subunit ribosomal RNA", at positions 28 to 506 of the family's 1533-position model. The record is from RNAcentral.